This 720-nucleotide ribosomal RNA is filed under the name Shewanella sp. CSP-006. RNAcentral's name for it is "bacterial SSU rRNA". It matches the Rfam family "Bacterial small subunit ribosomal RNA", at positions 79 to 793 of the family's 1533-position model. The record is from RNAcentral. Lineage: Bacteria; Pseudomonadati; Pseudomonadota; Gammaproteobacteria; Alteromonadales; Shewanellaceae.
ACAAGGUAGCCAAAACCAAUUGCGGACGGGUGAGUAUGCGUACGAACCUGCCCGAUAGAGGGGGAUACCAGUUGGAAACGACUGUUAAUACCGCAUAAUGUCUACGGACCAAAGUGUGGGACCUUCGGGCCACAUGCUAUCGGAUGCGCCUACGUGGGAUUAGCUAGUUGGUGGGGUAAUGGCUCACCAAGGCGACGAUCCCUAGCUGGUUUGAGAGGAUGAUCAGCCACACUGGGACUGAGACACGGCCCAGACUCCUACGGGAGGCAGCAGUGGGGAAUAUUGGACAAUGGGCGCAAGCCUGAUCCAGCCAUGCCGCGUGUGUGAAGAAGGCCUUAGGGUUGUAAAGCACUUUCAGUGGGGAGGAAGGGUGUUGUGUUAAUAGCACAGCAUUUUGACGUUACCCACAGAAGAAGCACCGGCUAACUCCGUGCCAGCAGCCGCGGUAUACGGAGGGUGCAAGCGUUAAUCGGAAUUACUGGGCGUAAAGCGCACGCAGGCGGCUUUUUAAGUCGGAUGUGAAAGCCCCGGGCUCAACCUGGGAAUUGCAUCUGAUACUGGGAAGCUAGAGUAUGUGAGAGGGGGGUAGAAUUCCAAGUGUAGCGGUGAAAUGCGUAGAGAUUUGGAGGAAUACCAGUGGCGAAGGCGGCCCCCUGGCACAAUACUGACGCUCAGGUGCGAAAGCGUGGGGAGCAAAACAGGAUUAGAUACCCUGGGUAG